GCUCCGUGUCGGGGCACAGCACGGCCAGGCAAUGUGCCUGUCAGGCUGCAAGCCUCUUUCAUGCAUGGCCAGCUCCAAAGGGCUGUGCAGCAGGACUUGGCAACCGAAAAUGUCAUCUACAAUUAUGCAUAUUUUCAUCAUCUUCUAUCAUGCAAAUCCCCCCACCCCAAAUAUGCAGCAAAUGUUUUGUUUGCAUAUGUAGGUCAACCACAAAUCUUCUGUGGUCGAACAUAAACAUGGGCAGCACAGAGUGAUGUAUGUGGAUUUAAAUCCAGGCUGAAUCAUAAGCCCACCACGGACCUUUUCCAAGUGGAGUCUGUUUGCUAGAUUCGUUAUCUCUGACUUUUCAUUUUAUAGAGCAUUGCUUUCUCAUGGAUUUGUGAAAGAACGACUGACAGGAGAUACCAUCGUUGCAAAAGGAACUAUUAACUUAGACACAGAUGGAUGGUUCUUCAUGAGCUGGCAGUACAGUCCCUCAGUGUGAGCUGCUGGGAUCAGCAUGGUGGCACGAUGGAAAACUGUUCAGGUUGCUGCAUCUGUAAAAAUGCUUUGUUCCUGGAUUCCUCCUGGGACCUGGCACUUACCUGUGCACACACAGACACCAGAGGUUUGGAAUGAGAUCUUUAAGGUUCCUCCCAGCCCAAACCUUUCUGUGAUCUGGUGGUGGUGGUGAAACCAAGGAUGUGCCUUCAGUGAUGGACAUGGAAAGGACACCACCCAGCCAGCUCAUCCUGCCAACAUUACCAGCCUCCCUGAGCUCCUGCUGGAACAUGGAAACGCUCCCAAGUUUUUAAUUAAACACUGCCACAGCUAUAAAAAAAGAAUGUACAUCUUUUAAUAGCAACAUGAGAGCACCCAAGAGCGAGCUACCUGACCUCAGCCUUCCUGGUCCCUUCACGUUGCAAGACACCACUCUCUUUAAUUAAUUAAUUUGUUUAUUCGUUGCCUGCAAGGGUAAAUGAUGGAAGACUGGUGAGGCACUAAAAAAAUAAGCAUCUUGACACGACCUUGUUUUUUUAUCUCGCAGCUAACUGGCAGUGCCAACUUUUUCUGCAUUUAUUUAAAUUUUGCUGUAGUUUAAAUAAUUUUUGCUGAGAUCCUGUUUCAGUCCUGUUCCAGAUCACGAUUCUGGUGAUGGCUCCUUGACACAGAACCCCGAUUAUUCCCGUUUUUCCCCCAAUCUCGGCUCCGGGCCGGAUUUCCCAGGGCGCAGCGCCACCGCCUGCCCGCAGCCCCGCGUUCAUGAGCCCGGGUUGUGCUCCUGCAGCCGCC
This is a long non-coding RNA of Melozone crissalis (California towhee), 1272 nucleotides long. RefSeq lists it as uncharacterized. The transcript has 3 exons. The record is from RefSeq and is a predicted model, not a curated record. NCBI's taxonomy places the organism in Eukaryota, Metazoa, Chordata, Aves, Passeriformes, Passerellidae.